Molecule: long non-coding RNA, 5657 nt
Organism: Meriones unguiculatus (Mongolian gerbil)
Lineage: Eukaryota; Metazoa; Chordata; Mammalia; Rodentia; Muridae
Exons: 7
Source: RefSeq, a predicted model, not a curated record
CGGCAACCGGCCUGCGCCAGCCGCUAGGGAGCUGGGCGGGAGCUAGCGCGUGAGCGUUCCGGCCGGUGCCCAAGCCUCCCCAGGCUUCUUCCCCUGGGGACAGUGUUGCUUGGUAGUACCUUUUGUGACAAGAAGCUGGUUUUAGAAUUGCUCCUACUCAUAAGAAAGAUAUGAAUUCUCUCUACUUGAUUCUAAGUUUAGCAGUUAAUAUCUUAGGUGACUUUGUCACUCAGCGUUUUGCUUUAAAGUGAACUGUGAAGACAUUUUCAAGAACAUAGAUAAACGUAAAAGAUCAGUUCAAUGUUGGACUCAGGACCUUCAGCCUAUUUUGCUGUGCUUGACUUGUUUCGUUUUGAUUGUCAAUGCCACCACGGCUGUGAGAGUGGGAAUGUUGAAAUGGACAAGUGAAUAUUAUUGAGAGGCUCAAACACAGUCGCGUUCAGUCCUGGUUCUGAGAAUCCCGUCUCUAUGUUGUGUAAACCACUGCCCCCCACUUGUCUCCUGAUAUGCCAAUAAAGAGUCUUGACAACCAAUGUCUGAGCAGGGGCGAGAACAGGGCUGGACUUCCUGCCCUCCAGGGGAGGAGUUGGAAGAGGAAGCAGAGGACCGAGCCACAGAAGGGGUCCAGGUGACAUCAGGAGAGGAGCUGGUCAGGAAAAGCUACAAAGCGCAGGUAUCUCUGGGAUGCGCACUGGGAGGCAGCCAGACAGCCGUGUAGAGCUCUGACUGGCCCACAGGAGUGCAGUGUCCUGCUAGCAGACGGGAAAGGCCUGCUGUCCAGAUUCUUCUUGGCCUCUCUGUGAGGAGUCUUCCCUCUGGGUAUGGAGCAAGAGGCCUUCUGAAAUGAGAGUCAUGUGACUUACUUUCAGCUUCUCAGACUUCUUUCUCAGCAGAGAUAGGCUAUAAAGAGACAAACUUUGAACACUGAGCAGUCUACGCUUCUCUGUCAAAAGGCCUUUUACAGCUUUGAGGAGCGGGAAUAGGAGCAGGAAUCCCCAGUCUGUGCUCUCCCGUUAACUCUAAGAAUGGGGGUUACAAAGACCUCCCAGCUUAGCUGCUAACCGGUGAACAAACGCGGCCUGGCCGCCUCCACACCUGUGCCGUUCUUUGGGUUCCUGGGGUGUCUCCGGUGGGCUGCCUGGUGGCAGCCCCAGCUCACGACGUUUGUGAAACAGCUGCCACAGGGAUCAGCUGCUCAAAAACUGUUGCGGAACUAAUAUCGGCCGUGUGUGCGCGUUGUAUUUGCAGAGCGCUGGCGGCCAGGGACCUGCCGGUCAAAGCCCCCGCUAACCUUUCCUCCGUCACGCUUGAGAACUCCGAGGGGCGUCAGCUGCUAAGCCCACCCACCCUCAGCACCCCCAGAUUAGGCGUGGUGGGAGACUUCUCACGGAGGAAGGAGACGCUGUCCUGGCUGACGACGAUCCUUCCUGGAAGACCAGUGGCUGUCAACGGGCGGGUUUCUAAAAUGGUGGUUGCCUUGUUCCCACGCUGUUCCGGCGUCCUCUCUCCAGCAGGCGGUGGAGUGGAGCCCGGGAGGCCUGGCUGCCCCAGGCGUGCUCUGCAGGCAGGCCUCUGCUCUGUAACUCGCCCGGCUGCCUCUGGCCUGCGGCUGCACAAACACAAGGGGAUGCCAGAAUACUCCAUGCUUUCUCCACAGUUUCCCUCAUCAGACAAACAAAAAACUCGUGCUGUCUGCAUAUAGAACUGCUAAUGUCAGCUGCGAUUUUAGCUCUUAAUCACGUUCUUCUUAGCAAAGACCCAGGAGGAAAACCCUAAACUGUUUCUUCGUUCAUUAGUGAUCUAUGAGAACAAGUUUGAGAACAAGUUUGUUAACGGUGCCAAACAUCACAGUCGAGAGCUGAGUCCGAGAGCUUAAGAUGAAUGAAACACACGCAUACCACAUGCCCACAAACUAAACUGCAGGAGCCCCAGCCAGACCUCUGAGGGGACAGCAGCUGGGCUUUAAAACGACCUUUUGUCUUUUUCCUCUAAUCGCCACUUCUAGAAUUAAUUUUGAAAUGCCUGGAUAUCGGGUAUCAGAUAGGGAGCCCCAAUAACCGAUUUUGUUCCAAAAAGGCAGCAGCAGCAGCAGCGGGCUGAUAAUGUGGCUCAUUCGGUAAGUGCUUGCAGUCCGAGUGCCAGGACCUGAGUUCGGGUCCCUAGAACCCACACAGAAAGGGAGGCAUGGUACUGAGCGUUUGUGAUCCAGCCUUGGGGUGUGGGUUCCUGGAGCUUACUGGCCGUCCAGACUGAGCAAACGGGAGAGCUACGGCUUCAGUGAGAGCCUGUCCCCAAAGACAGUGGUAGAGAGCGGCCACCUGCUGUCGACCUCGGGCCUCAUCUCUCUCUCUCAUACACACACACUCUCUCGAAUACACAUGUACAUGCACAAUAAAAUAAAAAGAAAAAAAUAAUUUUAAAAAGUCAGCAGCUAAGUAGGAAGUAAAAGCAAAAGGGAAAAGAGAGAAGAAACAGCCAGACAAAAAUGUUAGAGUCCAAAAAUGUCCCCCAAAUGUUCACACUCACACAUUUCAAAUUAAGCAUUUCAAAAAUAGUGAUUUUACCAAAAAUAAGUUCUUUUAAAAAAUGUAAAAAUGAAGUAGCUACAGGUUUGUUACUCAGUUUCUUCAGAAAGUCUGGAUAGCUGUUUUUGUUUGGGCCCUGCUGUCUUUAGGCUCAUUUGGCUAGAGACCUGACUUGGGGGCUGAUACAGGGGUCAGUGCUGGAGGAAAGUUUGGGUUUCUUCUUAGAGCACCACCAGCAGGACAGAUAGCCACACCCAAAGGGAUAUGGGGUACCUGCCGCUCUUAAGUACCAGCCUGAUACAGUGGAGAAUCAUGGGGGAAGGGAGCUCUAGGGGAGGAGGGAGAGUAGGUCAGGUUGGCCUUUGUUUGUGGGGGAUGGUCUGGAGUACAUUAACUGAUGUGUGAGCACCAGCCUAAAAGUGGGAGCACCAACCCCGGGGUUAGGUUCUGAGGAGCACACACACACACACACACACACACACACUUCCAUUCCUCUCUGCCCUUGGUUGUGGAUAUGAUGUAAUCCACUGGUUUCCAUUCCCGCUGCUGUGAGUUCCCACAGUGAUGAGCUACACAGCAUGUGAAAGGACACUAAGACAGUUCUUCAGGUGUGGAAUAAGUAGCUGAUGUGAACCUUUUGCAUGAGCAAGCCAGGAACACAUCGUAGGCGGUUCCUAAUCAGAGUUCUGCAUGUCACAGGGUCAUGCAUGAUCUCUCUGUUAGGCCCUAGUUACCCUGAGUCAUCCAGAGAGGACCUGAAGGAUCAUUGCCCUCUUUGCUCAGAGUCCCAAGAACCCUCAUGCAACUAGCUCUCCGGUAGCACUGCCGAGAUGGUGUUCGGAUUUUCCUGCCUCUGUGAGGCCCCCAUCAAAUACUUCUCUUCCUUACAAAAUGUGGUGGAAAGCAGGGGCAGGGGCAGCCAUCCGGCUCCAUCCAUUCCAUCCUCGCCCUCAUUCUCCAACUGGCUACUAGUGGCUACUGCUCAAAGGCCCCCUUCCACCUGGUUGUUUGCUAACCUUGGUGAGAGAGUUUUUAGCACAAAAGCCUGGGCCUCCACAGUCCUAACAGGCCUACCUAGCUACUGAUCCCCACAUUCUGGCACUGUGAAAAGAUGCAUUCAAUGGGCCCCCCCGCUGGGAAGGAGAGAUAAAGAGGUCAGUGACCCCAGUCCAUCUUUGGGGUAUUGCCAUGCACUGGAUUUAGGUAGAGGGUGAGAGGUUUGCAUAAUCCAGCAGUCCUGGCCAAGGCACCAUCCUGCCUGCCACUGUUUCAGCUGCAGUCCUGCAGGGUGCUCCACGAUCUCUUAAUCUAUUAACCGGUCGCCCUCAAGGGACCAGGGUGCUUGCUGCAGGCCUGUGCGCAGGAAGCAGUCUCACCCUGAGGAUGAUGGUCCUGUGGUGGGAGAGGUGCGUCUGUCCUGUGGAGCUACAGGGUGAGGACAAUGACAGCUCUGUGCUGUUAGCCCUGUGGUGCAAGUGAGGAGGCAAUGCUUUUUAGCAAAAGCAGCGUCUAGACAUCCAUUUCAAAGCUACUCAAUCCAUGACAUUAUUAUCAUUAGUGACCUGGUCCUAUCUCACGUGGGUAUUCCUUCUUUAUAAGCCCAUGAUGACCCACAUUGUCUUUUUUUCUUGGCUUUUCCACCAGAUAGUAAAAAUGUCAGCUAGCAAGUGGGGGUUAGCAUCCCAGCUAAUCUUUUCUUUGCUGUGGAAUAGGGUGUGUGCCAAGUGAGGCUGAUGAAGGACUAGUGUGCGAAUCACAGCGCUAAGUGCUCAGAAAACGAAGGUAAAUGGAAGAGAAAUGAAAAAGGAAGGGCCUGGCUGUUGCUGGGUAUGGCGGAGGAGAACAUUUAUUGUAGAUAAAAGGGAGAGCAUAGUCAGAGAACCUUUGGAGAGCCCAGAGUGAACAUUGCCAAACUGAGAGGAGGGGGAAGGGCCCAGGGGGGAGAAGCCAUCAACCAAGAAGGGUGGCCUGGGCCAAGGGACUGGACAAGAGAGUAAAGGGUAGAUCAAAGAGGCCAGGUAACAAAAAUGGCUGGAUAUACAGGGAAGGGCAGCUGCAGAAAGGAUAGCCCCACCCCUGGUCUGGAGGAGUUCAGGGCAGGGACCCAGGUAUGCUAGCCAUGCCCUGUACCAGCUAGAGAUGGAGGGAUGCUGGGAGAGCCUGGCAGCCAGGCCUACUUUGAUAUGUUAAACAGGCACUUCAGCCAGUUUGUCUCUGGUUUGAGGCCUAACAACAGGGUGUACUUGGAUACCAUGACUUAUUAUCUGUCAUUAGUUGAGGGGUUCACUGAGUCUGGGAAAGGGGUCCUUUUGAGAAACCUUUUAGGAGACGGCACCAUAGGAAAGGGCAAUUAAGUCAAGCUUGACCUUGACCUUGUAACAAAAUCUGAGCAGUCGACGUGGAGGCAUUUACAUUUGAGAAUUUGCCACCAGGGAGAAACUCCUUGACCCCAAUUCAAAACAACCUAUAUUAUAACAUAGGAUCCUGCAAUACGAAGGUCCUAUUCUUUGUUUAACGGUCUGCUGUCACCAUCUUAAAAUGCUUAAAAUGUAAGCAAAGGGACCCUGCAUUUUCAGUUUGCAAGUUAUGGAGCCUCUGCCCUGAUACAGGAUCCAACACAGGAGAGAGACCCGGCAUUCCCACGGCGGCAAGAGGGAGGUUUUCAGAGAGCUUUCAGUGGAUCUAGAAGGCGGUUGGAGCCACAGCGGGCGGAGGCCUGCACAGCAGACAUGUUAGCCUUCAGGCGACGUUUUCCGCUGUUUACCCUUCUCUUCAGUCCUGAAGACGGAUGCUUGACUGAGCCUGUGUGGGUCGAAUCUGUGGCAUGAUAAAUAUCUGAUGAGGUUCUUCAUGGUCACGAGGAUACUCAUUUCGUCUCACCUUUCUUUCCUUUAAGUUUGCGUCUGAGAGCGGGAGACCAGCCGGGAAGUAAAGAGCACCCUACGCUCUGAGCAUAUUUUCAGCUGAUCCCACACCAGUCUCUCUGGGGCGUUGCCUUGUGACCUGUCUGUAGAGUCGUGUGUUCAAAAGUAAAAAAUACAUGGUUUACAUAUAGAAACAUAGGCGGCAAAACCAAAUUGAGGGCAGACAAUGUUUAACACGCAGGUGUGAAUUUAACCGAAGGUUAAUAAC